Molecule: ribosomal RNA, 251 nt
Filed under: uncultured prokaryote
Description: partial 16S rRNA
Rfam family: Bacterial small subunit ribosomal RNA
Source: RNAcentral
ACGGAGGGUGCAAGCGUUAUUCGGAAUUACUGGGCGUAAAGCGCACGUAGGCCGCUUUGUAAGUCAGGGGUGAAAUCCCACGGCUCAACCGUGGAACUGCCCUUGAAACUGCAGAGCUUGAAUCCUGGAGAGGGUAGCGGAAUUCCUGGUGUAGGGGUGAAAUCCGUAGAUAUCAGGAGGAAUACCGGUGGCGAAGGCGACUUCCUGGAUAAGCACUGACGCUGAGGCGCGAAAGUGUGGGGAGCAAACAG